UAGAUGCGAGAGUAGAGCAUAUCAAUAAGCGGAGGAAAAGAAACUAACAAGGAUUCCCUUAGUAACGGCGAGUGAAGCGGGAAGAGCUCAAAUUUGAAAUCUUCAAGGUUUUACCUUGACGAAUUGUAGUUUAAAGAAGUGUUUUCUGUUGGAGUUUUGGUAAAAGUUCUUUGGAAUAGGACAUCAUAGAGGGUGAGAAUCCCGUAUUUGACCAUUAUUUCCAGCUGUGUGAUACACUUUCAAAGAGUCGGAUUGUUUGGGAAUGCAGUCCAAAAUGGGUGGUAAAUUUCAUCUAAAGCUAAAUAUUGGCGAGAGACCGAUAGCGAACAAGUACCGUGAGGGAAAGAUGAAAAGGAACUUUGAAAAGAGAGUUAAACAGUACGUGAAAUUGUCAAAAGGGAAGCGUUUGACACCAGUGUUGUUUUCUCGAAAAUCAAUUAAAAAUGAUGGGAUUUUGUGUUGUAUUGACUUUAUCAGCCUUCUGCACUUUUUUCUUAUCUUUUUUAAUGCACUUUUCGUUUAACAAGUCAACAUCAAUUUCUUUUGUUGUAAAAGAGUCAUUGGAAGGUGGCUUUUUCUUCGGAAAAAGUGUUUAUAGCCUUUGGCUUCUGCAAUCGGAGAGAUUGAGGUCUGCAGCGUAGAUCCUUCGGGGUUAGAUACAUUUGUGCUAAGCUAUAGUUCUUUAUAGACAACUUGUUGACUAUAAUCAAUCCUGUAACUUACUCGCUUAUGCUAUUUUACCUACGCUUAGGAUGUUGACACACGCGCGUGCUCG
RNAcentral lists this ribosomal RNA (775 nucleotides) under uncultured Neocallimastigales. RNAcentral describes it as "partial large subunit ribosomal RNA". It matches the Rfam family "Eukaryotic large subunit ribosomal RNA", at positions 22 to 643 of the family's 3401-position model. Lineage: Eukaryota; Fungi; Neocallimastigomycota; Neocallimastigomycetes; Neocallimastigales. The record is from RNAcentral.